RNAcentral lists this ribosomal RNA (303 nucleotides) under uncultured bacterium. RNAcentral's name for it is "partial 16S ribosomal RNA". It matches the Rfam family "Bacterial small subunit ribosomal RNA", at positions 507 to 807 of the family's 1533-position model. The record is from RNAcentral.
AGCAGCCGCCGCGGUAAUACGUAGGGUGCGAGCGUUAAUCGGAAUUACUGGGCGUAAAGCGUGCGCAGGCGGUUAUAUAAGACAGAUGUGAAAUCCCCGGGCUCAACCUGGGACCUGCAUUUGCGACUGUAUAGCUAGAGUACGGUAGAGGGGGAUGGAAUUCCGCGUGUAGCAGUGAAAUGCGUAGAUAUGCGGAGGAACACCGAUGGCGAAGGCAGCCCCCUGGGAUAACACUGACGCUCAUGCACGAAAGCGUGGGGAGCAAACAGGAUUAGAUACCCCCGUAGUCCCUGUCUCUUAUAC